Mangifera indica (mango) is the source of this 846-nucleotide long non-coding RNA. RefSeq lists it as uncharacterized. The record is from RefSeq and is a predicted model, not a curated record. Lineage: Eukaryota; Viridiplantae; Streptophyta; Magnoliopsida; Sapindales; Anacardiaceae. The transcript has 2 exons.
CCUCAUACGCCUCUCAGGUUCCUAAUGGGUCUUGUUUUACAGAAUUUUUCCCAAAAUUUCAAUUUUUUAUUUUAAAUUUAUAGUUUUACUCGUCAAUGAUGAUGAGAACAUAAUCAUAUGAUGAUGAUGGAGGAGGAAGGUUUCUCGGUGAUGAACGAAAAUGAUGACGAGUCCGAUUCUUUCCAUUCUCUAAAUCGUGACGACAAAUCGAGGCAUUUGUCUGAGAGAACUUCAAACCCUCAUCAUCAUUUCUUUUGUUCUUUUAUGAAACAUAAAUUAAAUCUGUUGAUUUUGGUGUUCAUAAAUUAUUUGGGCAUUAUGAUGAUUUGUUUACCGUCUGAUUUCUAUAUGACGAAUCAAUUACCUCCUACUCAUUCUGAAUGCCUGCUAAUCAUUACCCAUUUUAAGCUAAUUGAACCAUCACAGGAGAGAAACAGGGUGCAGCGAUGAUGAGAAACAGUUUUACUCUGUAAUAUGUAGAGGGGUUUUCAAGCACUUUUGAGCUGCCCCUUCAUUGCGGUUCUAGGAUGCCAUGGAAGCUUGAAAUAACAGUUCAGAUUGAAGAAGAUUGAGUAAAGAAAGUGGAUUUUCUCAUUCAAUUAAUUUAAAAGAUGAAAGUAAUUUAUCAAAGAGCUGUACAUAAUGGAUUUUCACUUUUCACUUGCCCUUUCCCCUUGAAUUUCACCUUUUAAAACUCAAUCCAAAAAGAUCACAAGUCUAAUGUUUCAUUAAAAUUAAGAACACAUCCAAACUAAACUAAGAAGAGGCAAAUUCCCCUAGGUUGUAAAGCCAAAGCUUAUGAUCAAUCAAAACCAAGGAAAAUCCUACAUCUAGUGUAUAAUUUAA